CCCUACGGGGCGCAGCAGUGGGGAAUUUUGGACAAUGGGGGCAACCCUGAUCCAGCCAUGCCGCGUGAGUGAAGAAGGCCUUCGGGUUGUAAAGCUCUUUCGGACAGAAAGAAAUCGCAUCGGCUAAUACUCGAUGUGGAUGACGGUACUGUCAUAAGAAGCACCGGCUAACUACGUGCCAGCAGCCGCGGUAAUACGUAGGGUGCGAGCGUUAAUCGGAAUUACUGGGCGUAAAGCGUGCGCAGGCGGUUUUGAAAGACAGGCGUGAAAUCCCCGGGCUCAACCUGGGAACUGCGCUUGUGACUACAAGACUAGAGUACGGCAGAGGGGGGUAGAAUUCCACGUGUAGCAGUGAAAUGCGUAGAGAUGUGGAGGAAUACCGAUGGCGAAGGCAGCCCCCUGGGCCAGUACUGACGCUCAUGCACGAAAGCGUGGGGAGCAAACAGGAUUAGAUACCCCGGUAGC
This 465-nucleotide ribosomal RNA is filed under the name uncultured bacterium. RNAcentral's name for it is "bacterial SSU rRNA". It matches the Rfam family "Bacterial small subunit ribosomal RNA", at positions 337 to 794 of the family's 1533-position model. The record is from RNAcentral.